Molecule: ribosomal RNA, 478 nt
Filed under: uncultured bacterium
Lineage: Bacteria
Description: bacterial SSU rRNA
Rfam family: Bacterial small subunit ribosomal RNA
Source: RNAcentral
AUGGCUCAGAAUGAACGCUGGCGGCAUGGAUUAGGCAUGCAAGUCGAACGUACUCCCUUCGGGGAGAAAGUGGCGAAAGGGUGAGUAACACGUGAGCAACCUGCCUCCGGAUCCGGAAUAAUCCAGGGAAACUUGGUCUAAAACCGGAUGAAGACAUUGGUCCGCAUGGUCUAAUGUUAAAAUAUUUAUAGUCCGGAGAGGGGCUCGCGGCCCAUUAGCUUGUUGGCGGGGUAAUGGCCCACCAAGGCUACGACGGGUAGGUGGUCUGAGAGGAUGGUCACCCACACUGGGACUGAGACACUGCCCAGACUCCUACGGGAGGCUGCAGUCGAGAAUCUUCCGCAAUGGGCGCAAAGCCUGACGGAGCGAUGCCGCGUGAGGGAUGAAGGCCUUCGGGUUGUAAACCUCUGUCAUCCGGGACGAAAACAAUGACGGUACCGGAAAAGGAAGCCACGGCUAACCACGUGCCAGCCGCAGC